GGGGGUGAACGGUUUCGACAUCGGUUAUUGAGAUGAGUGAAGCGUGCCGAGGAUCAACGGUUAUCUCGUUAACGACCCGUUGAAAACAACAAGUGCCGAUUCAAAUCGCACUGGUGUGUCAGCCAAGGCUGACGUCGCUCUCGCUGCCUAAGCGAAAGUGAUAACCCGUCGGCCCAGGGGUGUCUCCCCUCGGGUGUCCGGCGUCGACUAGGAGACUCACCAACCGCUCCGGUCAUCGGGAGCGCGAGGGACAUCAAACAGUGACUGGGCCGCGUUUCCCGCAGGGUCGUACGACAGUGGGAAGGCCGAGAACGCGUUCAACACGACUACGCACGUAGAAGCCUCUGAUUGGUACCGAUGGACCCGGGUUCGAUUCCCGGCACCUCCACAC
Molecule: transfer-messenger RNA, 391 nt
Filed under: Candidatus Nanopelagicales
Lineage: Bacteria; Bacillati; Actinomycetota; Actinomycetes
Also listed under: 1 other name
Description: UBA10799 sp018003655 Standard tmRNA
Rfam family: transfer-messenger RNA
About the family: Bacterial tmRNA, also known as 10Sa RNA or SsrA, is named for its dual tRNA and mRNA-like properties. Its role is to liberate the mRNA from a stalled ribosome. To accomplish this part of the tmRNA is used as a reading frame that ends in a translation stop signal.
Source: RNAcentral